RNAcentral lists this ribosomal RNA (301 nucleotides) under uncultured bacterium. Its description in RNAcentral is "partial 16S ribosomal RNA". It matches the Rfam family "Bacterial small subunit ribosomal RNA", at positions 509 to 807 of the family's 1533-position model. The record is from RNAcentral.
CAGUCGCCGCGGUAAUACGUAGGGUGCGAGCGUUAAUCGGAAUUACUGGGCGUAAAGCGUGCGCAGGCGGUUGUGUAAGACAGGUGUGAAAUCCCCGGGCUUAACCUGGGAACUGCGCUUGUGACUGCACAGCUAGAGUAUGGCAGAGGGGGGUGGAAUUCCACGUGUAGCAGUGAAAUGCGUAGAGAUGUGGAGGAACACCGAUGGCGAAGGCAGCCCCCUGGGCCAAUACUGACGCUCAUGCACGAAAGCGUGGGGAGCAAACAGGAUUAGAUACCCCUGUAGUCCCUGUCUCUUAUAC